This 253-nucleotide ribosomal RNA is filed under the name uncultured bacterium. RNAcentral describes it as "partial 16S ribosomal RNA". It matches the Rfam family "Bacterial small subunit ribosomal RNA", at positions 524 to 776 of the family's 1533-position model. The record is from RNAcentral.
UACGUAGGGUGCGAGCGUUAAUCGGAAUUACUGGGCGUAAAGUGUGCGCAGGCGGCCGAGCAAGUCGAGUGUGAAAGCCCCGGGCUUAACUUGGGAAUUGCGCUCGAAACUACUUGGCUGGAGUGUGGCAGAGGAAGGUGGAAUUCCAGGUGUAGCGGUGAAAUGCGUAAAGAUCUGGAGGAACACCGAUGGCGAAGGCAGCCUUCUGGGCCAACACUGACGCUCAUGCACGAAAGCGUGGGGAGCAAACAGG